GCUUUGGGAGCUCAUGGCUGCUGCAGAAAGACUUGAAAGAGAGGCUCAAACCUGCUGCUCACCAGCAGGAGCAAUCUGGUUUAAGAAAACACUUCAUCCUCACCUCUGGGUGAAAAUGAAAUACUGCUUAUGACUUUGGUGUGGCUACAUCUGUUGGAGAGUAUGUAUGAAUAGGGCAGGCCAGAGGUAGGAAGGUGUAGAGCCAGAAGAAAAUAUUGCUGCUUAAAGGAGCCACAGCACCUUUCUUCCUGUGGAAAUCCUUUCACUUACUCCUGGGAUGCUGGGUUUCUCCUGGGGGCUGUUUUCUUAUUUUCUAUCCUAUUCUCCCUAGCCUUGUCGCUCUUCCUUGUAUUAGUCUCCCUUCUAAGAUUCGAUCCAUUCUCCUUUGGAACCUGAGUGUCAAUUUUUCCUUCUUCUCCUUUACCCUGUGUUUUCCUCUAAAUAUCUUCAUUUCAAUCCUUUAGUCUUCCUUUGCCCUUAAAGGUUUUAUGACAAUAAGUUUCAUGGAAAAUCUAGAUUCCAACUCAUCAUCUGGGCAUGCUCAGGAGAGAAGAGCUGCAUCAGUAACUGGAAGCUCUCUGUGUGCUGUGCUCUAGGGAGAUGAUACAUAUGAAAAACAUGCCAAGAAAAGAUUAGUCAAGGUCAGGGGCAACCUAGCCUGGACUUGCCUGGGUCAGAACAUGCCUCUUUUUUCUAAGUGCAAGCAAAAAAUCUAUUUGUAAUGUUUUUUCUAAGGCAAGGACACUUUGAUUUGCAUUGUUGCAAAGCUUUUUUUGGCCAUAGGUUGAGAUAGACUCCUCUGAUCAGCUCCAUAAAGGUGGCAGAUAGGUAUCUCUUGGGUGACGCAAUGAAAAUCCACCUCCAGCCCCCUUCCCGUAUCCACCAGCAAGCCAGUGGCAUUGGGAGCAGCUGAUUCUUAGGACUGUGUAAUGAGUAACCCUUGUGAUUGAUUUCCUUCUAUUUUUGUGGAAGGCUGAUGUACGAAUUGUGUCAGUUUGGGAUCCCUGGAGCUAGGAACGUGUUUGAUCACAUCUGCUGGCAGGCAGAGGCCAGUGGGAUGUGUAAGGCUCUGGCCAUGGGUUCAGGUGACUGCUUUCCACAGUUAUUUUCUCUGGCACUGCCUGAGAUGAGCAAGUGGGGAAUUUCUGAAAACCUGUUUUGCUCAGUCCCAAGCUGCAAGGGAAGGGCAUUCCCUCCCACUCUUCCUUGCCUCCGACAGCCCUCACCUUCUCUGUCUUGCCUUAGGGCUAAGAGGGGUCUGGAGAAGAGGAAACUAAGCACCUAAAACUAAGAGGAGUGAAAUUGUUUGUGGAGUUAGGCAGAAACUAAAGUGGGAUUAUCUGGAGGGUGGAAAGGAAAGAGCAAAACUGUUCUCAUUACCCCAGUUGUGGUAACUUUAUUAACUCCAUCUCUACACUCAAAAAAGUAGGAACCCCGCAAACCUUACCUUUGAACACCUCUACUGUUCACUGGGUUACUAAUUGAAGCCUGUGAAGGUUUGUCAGUCAAGGCUCCUGUUUCCUUGUAACAGC
Long non-coding RNA from Hirundo rustica (Barn swallow), 1532 nucleotides. RefSeq lists it as uncharacterized. The transcript is spliced from 3 exons. The record is from RefSeq and is a predicted model, not a curated record. NCBI's taxonomy places the organism in Eukaryota, Metazoa, Chordata, Aves, Passeriformes, Hirundinidae.